This 574-nucleotide ribosomal RNA is filed under the name Pseudocercospora eumusae. Its description in RNAcentral is "eukaryotic LSU rRNA". The stretch from base 219 to 372 matches the Rfam family "5.8S ribosomal RNA". Lineage: Eukaryota; Fungi; Ascomycota; Dothideomycetes; Mycosphaerellales; Mycosphaerellaceae. The record is from RNAcentral.
UGGAGGUCGGGCGUGAGCCCUCACUCAGUAAUGAUCCCUCCGUAGGGUAACCUGCGGAGGGAUCAUUACUGAGUGAGGGCUCACGCCCGACCUCCAACCCUCUGUGAACCACACUUGUUGCUUCGGGGGCGACCCUGCCGGCGAACUCGUCGCCGGGCGCCCCCGGAGGUCUUCUAAACACUGCAUCUUUGCGUCGGAGUUCAAAACAAAUCGAACAAAACUUUCAACAACGGAUCUCUUGGUUCUGGCAUCGAUGAAGAACGCAGCGAAAUGCGAUAAGUAAUGUGAAUUGCAGAAUUCAGUGAAUCAUCGAAUCUUUGAACGCACAUUGCGCCCUUUGGUAUUCCGAAGGGCAUGCCUGUUCGAGCGUCAUUUCACCACUCAAGCCUGGCUUGGUAUUGGGCGUCGCGGUGUUUCGCGCGCUUAAAGUCUUCGGCUGAGCUGUCCGUCUCCUAGCGUUGUGGAUUCUUCAUUCGCUUCGGAGUGCGGGCGGCCGCGGCCGUUAAAUCUUAUUGAAAGGUGACCUCGGAUCAGGUAGGGAUACCCGCUGACUAAGCAUAUGAGCGGGGGAGGA